AAAGAAUUAGUUAAAAAAUAACAUAAAUAUGUCAAAUUUAAAUUAUUAAAUAUAAUCUAAUAUUCUUUU
This 69-nucleotide transfer RNA is filed under the name Thosea sinensis. RNAcentral describes it as "tRNA-Asp". Lineage: Eukaryota; Metazoa; Arthropoda; Insecta; Lepidoptera; Limacodidae. RNAcentral also lists the same sequence under 1 other name. The record is from RNAcentral.